Molecule: long non-coding RNA, 1285 nt
Filed under: Numida meleagris (helmeted guineafowl)
Lineage: Eukaryota; Metazoa; Chordata; Aves; Galliformes; Numididae
Description: lncRNA (ENSNMEG00000001701.1)
Source: RNAcentral
GAUUGACACAGAGAGUUCAUGAGACAGGCAUACAAUUUACCUUUAUUCAAAUUUUCUACAAAGCAUCAAAUGCUUUCGCUAUGUAAACUAUAGUUUUUGUAUAUGUUUAAGUGCAAGUACUCUUUUGAAUGGACACAGCAAGUAUGGCAAGUGGAGAUAUGAGCAAAGCAUUCUCAGAUAAUACUUUAUGAGAGAAAGGUUGCUUUACUUGAAUAAAUCAAAGGCAGGUUACUAGUUUGCAAAAUAUACUCAUUCACUGCUUGCAGUUCUUGGAUGAUUAGCUUUUCUAAGUCUUUAUGAUUUAAUCCCAAUUUUUCAAAUUUUAGUUGAGUCCUGUAAAUAGCUUUGCAGGCUUUCUUUCCACAGAAGAAAGAAGCACCAACAUAGUUCUACUGCAAACACCUCAACUAACUGCACAUGCAUACUUAAUUAAUGCACCACUGAUACUGCAAAUAGUUUUCUGCUAGUAUAUUUGCUGCUAAUGAUCUGGCUUUGCAGCUCUUUAACCAUGGUAUUAUUGUGGCUAAGAACCAGGUGUAUGAAGCCUAAAAGCAAAUUUUUAACAAAUAUUGUGAAACAAUCACUCCGCUGGUCAUCUGUGUACAAAACUCCACUAGUCCUCCUGGAUAAUAAGGUGACUGAGCUGUUGAAGCAUAACAAAAGAAUGAUGUGGGCCCACAGAGAUUCAAAGUUUGGAAAAUAUGAGGGAAAAGCAUGACAGCAAGCAGAGGAGAUUAAUCAAAGCAUGCUAAGAAACAUACAUAUGCACAGGUUUAUUUUAUUCCUCCGCAUCCAUUAUAAACAGAAAAAAGCUGAUUUCCCCAAGAUAGACCUGGUUAAAUACAGCCCUUUCCUGUAUAUUCUGAAUUCUCAUGUUACUCUACCUGACCUUGGAGUUCACAUAAGACUUUGAGGAAAUAUAUAAAAAGAAGAGAGUCGUUUGUAGCUAAAGAAGAAACUUCGAAAGCACCAUUUACCUGGCAACAUUCACUAACAGUUGUAUGAGACAUCGCAGUUUCCCUCCAAACUCGGAGAAAGAUACAUGAGAACUGAGGAAUGACUAUCAACUAUAGAAAGGUUUGUACAGAAGCUCAGUAUGAGAUUACCUGCAUUUGGUGUCCUGACCAGAGACAAAGCAUCUUGCUUGGGAAGAUCAAGAAACCACCAGUCUGACAGAGAAUAUGCUCAGGCAUAUUUAUGGUUAGGCUAGGAUAUCUGUUGUCAAAGUUUAUUUUGGUAUGUAUUUUUGAAUAAAGUAUUGAGACCAUUGUAAAAUAUAUAUUUC